Molecule: long non-coding RNA, 593 nt
Filed under: Daphnia pulex (common water flea)
Lineage: Eukaryota; Metazoa; Arthropoda; Branchiopoda; Diplostraca; Daphniidae
Description: uncharacterized LOC124207929, transcript variant X2
Source: RNAcentral
UGCCGACAGUAGAACUCCAACAAUUUUUUAAAUUUUAGUCCCGAAACUACGCCACCUAGUGGACACAUCUGAAAAUGAAUCGGAGUGACGUGGAAUCGCCAUUUUAUUCCAAGACGUUGAGCCAGAAGCAGGUCGCCGUUGUAUCGGUUGUAUGCUCAAUCUUUAACAUUUUGACGGAAAUAAAUAAGGUUCAGCUGCUAAAAUGUCAUCCAUUGCUACGUGUAACGGCUGUAUGUUUCAUCCAAUCCUUUGCUGAAAUACUUAAAGAAGAAGUUUCACAGCCAGGUGAAGUCUGAGCUUCUGCAAUGCUGUCUUUUGUGCUCAUGGUUUUGUUGCAGCCAGCUGACGAUUGGUGUGAUGAACUACUGCAUGCAGUCCAUUGUGCUGGUGUGGUGAGCUGCUUCUAUCCAGUCUGUGGUGCUGGCGUUAUCCUGAAAGGUUGGCUCUAGAUUCCUGACAAUGUGGUGUUUGUGGUGGAAAUGAGGAACUGAUUUCAUCGUAUCAAAAAUUCUUAUCCAUGUAAUUGUGUUUGAUUUUACGAUGGGGUUUGCUUAGUAAGUGAAAUAAAGAAAAAUAAAUGACAUCAAUAUUAA